CUCCAGACUCCUACGGGAGGCAGCAGUGGGGAAUAUUGCACAAUGGGGGGAACCCUGAUGCAGCGACGCCGCGUGGGCGAGGAAGUAUUUCGGUAUGUAAAGCCCUAUCGGCAGGGAAGAAGAAAUGACGGUACCUGAAUAAGAAGCACCGGCCAAAUACGUGCCAGCAGCCGCGGUAAUACGUAUGGGGCAAGCGUUAUCCGGAUUUACUGGGCGUAAAGGGAGCGCAGGCGGCGCGCCAAGUCUGAUGUGGAACCCCGGGGCUCAACCCCGGGCAUGCAUUGGAAACUGGCGGGCUGGAGUGCCGGAGAGGUAAGCGGAAUUCCUAGUGUAGCGGUGAAAUGCGUAGAUAUUACGAAGAACCCCGAUUGCGAAGGCAGCAUACCGGCUCCACACUGACGCUGAGGCACGAAAGCGUGGGUAUCGAACAGGAUUAGAUACCCGUGUAAA
RNAcentral lists this ribosomal RNA (450 nucleotides) under uncultured bacterium. RNAcentral's name for it is "bacterial SSU rRNA". It matches the Rfam family "Bacterial small subunit ribosomal RNA", at positions 329 to 794 of the family's 1533-position model. The record is from RNAcentral.